RNAcentral lists this ribosomal RNA (643 nucleotides) under uncultured bacterium. RNAcentral's name for it is "bacterial SSU rRNA". It matches the Rfam family "Bacterial small subunit ribosomal RNA", at positions 188 to 848 of the family's 1533-position model. The record is from RNAcentral.
GCAUCGACCAGAGGGAAAAGGAGCAAUCCGCUUUGAGAUGGCCUCGCGUCCGAUUAGCUAGUUGGUGAGGUAAUGGCCCACCAAGGCAACGAUCGGUAGCCGGACUGAGAGGUUGAACGGCCACAUUGGGACUGAGACACGGCCCAGACUCCUACGGGAGGCAGCAGUGGGGAAUACUGCACAAUGGGGGAAACCCUGAUGCAGCGACGCCGCGUGGAGGAAGAAGGUCUUCGGAUUGUAAACUCCUGUUGUUGAGGAAGAUAAUGACGGUACUCAACAAGGAAGUGACGGCUAACUACGUGCCAGCAGCCGCGGUAAAACGUAGGUCACAAGCGUUGUCCGGAAUUACUGGGUGUAAAGGGAGCGCAGGCGGGAAGACAAGUUGGAAGUGAAAUCUAUGGGCUCAACCCAUAAACUGCUUUCAAAACUGUUUUUCUUGAGUAGUGCAGAGGUAGGCGGAAUUCCCGGUGUAGCGGUGGAAUGCGUAGAUAUCGGGAGGAACACCAGUGGCGAAGGCGGCCUACUGGGCACCAACUGACGCUGAGGCUCGAAAGUGUGGGUAGCAAACAGGAUUAGAUACCCUGGUAGUCCACACCGUAAACGAUGAUUACUAGGUGUUGGAGGAUUGACCCCUUCAGUGCCG